This 337-nucleotide unclassified non-coding RNA is filed under the name soil metagenome. Its description in RNAcentral is "partial contains 5.8S ribosomal RNA, internal transcribed spacer 2, and large subunit ribosomal RNA". The stretch from base 1 to 120 matches the Rfam family "5.8S ribosomal RNA", at positions 35 to 154 of the family's 154-position model. The record is from RNAcentral.
GAUGAAGAACGUAGCGAAAUGCGAUACGUAGUGUGAAUUGCAGAAUUCAGUGAAUCAUCGAAUCUUUGAACGCACAUUGCACCUCUCGGUAUUCCGGGAGGUAUGCCUGUUCGAGCGUCAUUUGUACCCUCAAGCUCUGCUUGGUGUUGGGUGUUUGUUCCGCCUCUGUGUGUGAACUCGCCUCAAAACAAUUGGCAGCCGGCGUACUUGUUUCGGAGCGCAGCACAUUUUGCGAUCCAGAUCAACGUACAGCGGCAUCCAAGAAGCCUUAUUUAACGCUCUUGACCUCGGAUCAGGUAGGGAUACCCGCUGAACUUAAGCAUAUCAAUACGGAGGA